RNAcentral lists this transfer RNA (70 nucleotides) under Dipodomys ordii (Ord's kangaroo rat). It matches the Rfam family "tRNA". From Rfam's summary of the family: Transfer RNA (tRNA) molecules are approximately 80 nucleotides in length. Lineage: Eukaryota; Metazoa; Chordata; Mammalia; Rodentia; Heteromyidae. The record is from Rfam by way of RNAcentral.
GGGAGUGUGGCUCAGUGGUAGAGUGCUUGCCUUGCAUGCAUGAGGCCCUGGGUUCCAUUCCUCAGCACCA